UAAGACGAACCGUGCGAACGUUGUUCGGAAUCACUGGGCUUAAAGGGCGCGUAGGCGGGUGGCCAAGUCAGAGGUGAAAUCCCACGGCUCAACCGUGGAAGUGCCCCUGAAACUGGUCAUCUCGAGGGAGGUAGGGGCGUGCGGAACUUCCGGUGGAGCGGUGAAAUGCGUAGAUAUCGGAAGGAACGCCGGUGGCGAAAGCGGCGCGCUGGACCUCUUCUGACGCUGAGGCGCGAAAGCCAGGGGAGCAAACGGGAUUAGAUACCCCGGUAGUCCUGGCCCUAAACGAUGGGUACUAGGUAGUGGACUUGACAUGGGUUCACUUCCGAAGCAAAAGUGUUAAGUACCCCGCCUGGGGAGUAUGGUCGCAAGGCUG
This 376-nucleotide ribosomal RNA is filed under the name uncultured bacterium. Its description in RNAcentral is "bacterial SSU rRNA". It matches the Rfam family "Bacterial small subunit ribosomal RNA", at positions 521 to 896 of the family's 1533-position model. The record is from RNAcentral.